This is a non-coding RNA of Parasteatoda tepidariorum (common house spider), 527 nucleotides long. Lineage: Eukaryota; Metazoa; Arthropoda; Arachnida; Araneae; Theridiidae. The record is from RefSeq and is a predicted model, not a curated record.
UGUUUCUUUUUUCUUUACUAUGUUUUAUUGUUUUAUUGCAAUGACGAGGGGCCAAUGAAUUCAGAUGGAUUUUUAGCAUUACAAAACAGAGCUAAUUAGAAAGUUUGGAAGAAUAAAUUGGAUGUAAAAAGUCAUUGAACAUAAAACGAAUGUGAAUGUAGGGUUCUUACUUUUGAGUGUCUCGGCAACUGAUUGAGGAUCUGAAAACGGUCGAAAGGAAGGAAGUUAUGAAUUUAUCAGAACCACUGAUUGAAAGCAGGACGAAGAAAAGGAUAUGCAGAGAGAAUUUCUGGAUUGGUAAAGAUCGUGCUCUCUCCUGGACAAUUGCAGUGUCUAUUUUACUCAUUAAUUUCAUCGCCAUUGGAUUGGGACGGAUGUCCAGCCUCCUCUACGUUGACUUCAUCCGAGAGUUUAAAGUCAACAGAAAAUAUGCCGCCGCCCCAUUCAGCGUUCAGCAAUCCACCAGAAAUUUAUUCGGUAUACACCUUUUAUUAUUAUUUUUUUACUAGCUGAAUACCCGUUCUUCG